AGUCACUGACAUUAGAUACCCCGGUAGUCCAGGGUGUAAACGAUGUGGACUUGGUGUUGGGAUGGCUCCGAGCUGCCCCAGUGCCGAAGGGAAGCUGUUAAGUCCACCGCCUGGGAAGUACGGUCGCAAGACUGAAACUUAAAGGAAUUGGCGGGGAGCACCACAACGCGUGGAGCCUGCGGUUUAAUUGGACUCAACGCCGGGAAGCUCACCGGAUAAGACAGCGGAAUGAUUGCCGGGCUGAAGACCCUGCAUGACCAGCUG
Molecule: ribosomal RNA, 264 nt
Filed under: uncultured archaeon
Lineage: Archaea
Description: partial 16S ribosomal RNA
Rfam family: Archaeal small subunit ribosomal RNA
Source: RNAcentral